GACGAACCGUGCGAACGUUGUUCGGAAUCACUGGGCUUAAAGGGCGCGUAGGCGGGUUCGCAAGUCCGGGGUGAAAUCUUUCAGCUUAACUGGAAAAGUGCCCCUGAUACUGCGAGUCUCGAGGGAGGUAGGGGCAUGUGGAACUUCCGGUGGAGCGGUGAAAUGCGUAGAUAUCGGAAGGAACGCCGGUGGCGAAAGCGACGUGCUGGACCUCUUCUGACGCUGAGGUGCGAAAGCUAGGGGAGCAAACGGG
RNAcentral lists this ribosomal RNA (253 nucleotides) under uncultured bacterium. RNAcentral describes it as "partial 16S ribosomal RNA". It matches the Rfam family "Bacterial small subunit ribosomal RNA", at positions 524 to 776 of the family's 1533-position model. The record is from RNAcentral.